UUUUACUUACCUGGUCUUCCACA
RNAcentral lists this non-coding RNA (23 nucleotides) under Rattus norvegicus (Norway rat). The record is from RNAcentral. Lineage: Eukaryota; Metazoa; Chordata; Mammalia; Rodentia; Muridae.